Molecule: long non-coding RNA, 272 nt
Filed under: Sorghum bicolor (sorghum)
Lineage: Eukaryota; Viridiplantae; Streptophyta; Magnoliopsida; Poales; Poaceae
Description: long non-coding RNA (SBIC_LNC005975)
Source: RNAcentral
AUUAACUACUAUAUUAUUUAUAAACAAGAGAAUGAGCAUCUCCAAAAGUACCCAAUAAUCUUUUUCAAUUCAUGAUUCUUGGAAAGAAUGAAAAAAAAAAUCCAUCUCCCAAUCUUUUGGCACUUGGGAGAAAAAACUCCUAUUUGCGUGUAAAGUUCCGCAGACUUCAAGUCAUGCGUAUUUUCUUUUUGAUGUGCAUGGGUCGGCUAAUCUAAAGGUGGAAGGGCGUGAAGAAAACAAAGAGUAGGAAAAAGUUACUGAGGUAAAUUAAA